Molecule: ribosomal RNA, 500 nt
Filed under: uncultured bacterium
Lineage: Bacteria
Description: bacterial SSU rRNA
Rfam family: Bacterial small subunit ribosomal RNA
Source: RNAcentral
GAUGAACGCUAGCUACAGGCUUAACACAUGCAAGUCGAGGGGCAGCAUGAACUUAGCUUGCUAAGUUUGAUGGCGACCGGCGCACGGGUGAGUAACACGUAUCCAACCUGCCGAUGACUCGGGGAUAGCCUUUCGAAAGAAAGAUUAAUACCUGAUAGUAUGGUGAGAUUGCAUGAUAACACCAUUAAAGAUUUAUUGGUAAACGAUGGGGAUGCGUUCCAUUAGGUAGUAGGCGGGGUAACGGCCCACCUAGCCUGCGAUGGAUAGGGGUUCUGAGAGGAAGGUCCCCCACAUUGGAACUGAGACACGGUCCAAACUCCUACGGGAGGCAGCAGUGAGGAAUAUUGGUCAAUGGGCGAGAGCCUGAACCAGCCAAGUAGCGUGAAGGAUGAAGGUCCUACGGAUUGUAAACUUCUUUAUACGGGAAUAAAGUUUCCUACGUGUAGGAUUUUGUAUGUACCGUAUGAAUAAGCAUCGGCUAACUCCGUGCCAGCAGCCGC